UCAAAACAGCGGCCUUCGGGCCUCGCUGCACCCUUGUCUUUUGCGCACCGUAUUGUUUCCUCGGCGGGCUUGCCUGCCGGUAGGACAUCAUAAAACCUUUUUGUAGUUGCAAUCAGCGUCAGAAAAAUAAUAAUUAUUA
This 139-nucleotide unclassified non-coding RNA is filed under the name soil metagenome. Its description in RNAcentral is "partial internal transcribed spacer 1". The record is from RNAcentral.